Molecule: ribosomal RNA, 253 nt
Filed under: uncultured bacterium
Lineage: Bacteria
Description: partial 16S ribosomal RNA
Rfam family: Bacterial small subunit ribosomal RNA
Source: RNAcentral
UACGUAGGGUGCAAGCGUUGUCCGGAAUUAUUGGGCGUAAAGAGCUCGUAGGCGGUUUGUUGCGUCGGCUGUGAAAUCCCGAGGCUCAACCUCGGGUCUGCAGUCGAUACGAGCAAACUAGAGUGUUGCAGGGGAGACUGGAAUUCCUGGUGUAGCGGUGAAAUGCGCAGAUAUCAGGAGGAACACCGGUGGCGAAGGCGGGUCUCUGGACGAUUCCUGACGCUGAGGCACGAAAGCCAGGGGAGCAAACGGG